RNAcentral lists this transfer RNA (73 nucleotides) under Bos taurus (domestic cattle). It matches the Rfam family "tRNA". Rfam says of the family: Transfer RNA (tRNA) molecules are approximately 80 nucleotides in length. Lineage: Eukaryota; Metazoa; Chordata; Mammalia; Artiodactyla; Bovidae. The record is from Rfam by way of RNAcentral. RNAcentral also lists the same sequence under 3 other names.
UCCCUGGCAGUCCAGUGGUUAAGACACUGUGCUCCCAAUGCAGGGGGCAUGGGUUUGAUCCCUGUUUGGGGAA